GACGAACGCUGGCGGCGUGCUUAACACAUGCAAGUCGAACGAGGUACGUUGGAAGCUUGCUCUUAGAAAAUCUAGUGGCAAACGGGUGAGUAACGCGUAAACAACCUGCCCACAAGAGGGGGACAACAUUCGGAAACGAAUGCUAAUACCGCAUACGACCUAGUAUCGGCAUCGCGGCUACGUGAAAGAUGGCCUCUACAUAUACGAUCUCCUUGCGGUAGGUGUGCGUCUGAUUAGCUAGUUGGGGAGGUAACGGCUCACCAAGGCGACGAUCAGUAGCCGGUCUGAGAGGAUGAACGGCCACAUUGGGACUGAGACACGGCCCAGACUCCUACGGGAGGCAGCAGUGGGGAAUCUUCCGCAAUGGGCGAAAGCCUGACGGAGCAACGCCGCGUGAGUGAAGACGGCCUUCGGGUCGUAAAGCUCUGUUGACCGGGACGAAAGUGCGACGGGCGAAUAAUCAGAUGUAAUGACGGUACCUGAAGAGGAAGCCACGGCUAACUACGUG
Molecule: ribosomal RNA, 508 nt
Filed under: uncultured bacterium
Lineage: Bacteria
Description: partial 16S ribosomal RNA
Rfam family: Bacterial small subunit ribosomal RNA
Source: RNAcentral